RNAcentral lists this ribosomal RNA (198 nucleotides) under uncultured bacterium. Its description in RNAcentral is "partial 16S ribosomal RNA". It matches the Rfam family "Bacterial small subunit ribosomal RNA", at positions 328 to 539 of the family's 1533-position model. The record is from RNAcentral.
ACGCUCGACACCUACGGGAGGCGGCAGUGGGGAAUAUUGCACAAUGGGGGAAACCCUGAUGCAGCGACGCCGCGUGAAGGAAGAAGUAUUUCGGUAUGUAAACUUCUAUCAGCAGGGAAGAAGAUGACGGUACCUGACUAAGAAGCCCCGGCUAACUACGUGCCAGUAGCCGCGGUAAUCUGAGCGGGCUGGCAAGGC